CAGAUGUGUCUGCAGGGACGCCUUCAACAACUCCUACCUUGGAUGCUGCACUCAAGCCCAGCUCACAUCACAGGGGUCCUCCACCAGAAGAGAUCAAAGACAUGGCAGGCAAGAAGUUCCAGAAUCCAUUAGAAAUUACGUGGCAAAUGCUGAAGGAAGUGCUGCAGGGAGGACAAGUGGAUGGAGAGGCUGCACGGAAG
Long non-coding RNA from Passer domesticus (house sparrow), 200 nucleotides. RefSeq lists it as uncharacterized. The record is from RefSeq and is a predicted model, not a curated record. Lineage: Eukaryota; Metazoa; Chordata; Aves; Passeriformes; Passeridae. The transcript has 3 exons.